Molecule: ribosomal RNA, 31 nt
Filed under: Fusarium solani
Lineage: Eukaryota; Fungi; Ascomycota; Sordariomycetes; Hypocreales; Nectriaceae
Description: partial 18S ribosomal RNA
Source: RNAcentral
UCCGCAGGUUCACCUACGGAGGGAUCAUUAC